GCUCCCGACGCCCCACUCUGCUCUGCUCUCUAGGCCCGCCGGCCCGCGCCCACCAUGUCCGCCAUUCAGCAGCUGGUAGGAAGAUGGCGCUUAGUGGAAAGCAAAGGCUUUGACGAAUACAUGAAGGAAGUAGGAGUGGGAAUAGCUCUGCGAAAAGUGGGUGCAAUGGCCAAACCAGAUUGUAUCAUCUCUUCUGACAGCAAAAACCUCACCAUAAAAACUGAGAGCGCUUUGAAAACAACACAGUUUUCAUGUAACCUGGGAGAGAAGUUUGAAGAAACUACAGCUGAUGGCAGAAAAACUGAGACUGUCUGCAACUUCACAGACAGCACGUUGGUUCAACAUCAGGAAUGGGAUGGGAAGGAAAGCACAAUCACAAGAAAAUUGGAAAAUGGGAAAUUAGUGGUGGAAUGCAUCAUGAAUAAUGUCACCUGUACUCGGGUCUAUGAAAAAGUAGAGUAAAAAUUCCAUCAUCAUUGUGGACAGGAAUUAGCUGUGAGGAUGAACAAGCUCAGUUCAAUGAGCAAACCUCCAUACUGCUUUUUUUUUUCAUUACUGUGUUCAAUUAUCUUUAUCACAAACAUUUUACAUGCAUCUAUUUCAAAGUGUUGAUUUAAUUAGGAUCAUCCCUUUGGUUAGUAAAUAAAUUUGUGCUAUGCCAAAAAAAA
Non-coding RNA from Leptonychotes weddellii (Weddell seal), 668 nucleotides. Lineage: Eukaryota; Metazoa; Chordata; Mammalia; Carnivora; Phocidae. The record is from RefSeq and is a predicted model, not a curated record.